This 464-nucleotide ribosomal RNA is filed under the name uncultured bacterium. Its description in RNAcentral is "bacterial SSU rRNA". It matches the Rfam family "Bacterial small subunit ribosomal RNA", at positions 331 to 792 of the family's 1533-position model. The record is from RNAcentral.
CCAGACUCCUACGGGAGGCAGCAGUGAGGAAUAUUGGUCAAUGGGCGAGAGCCUGAACCAGCCAAGUCGCGUGAAGGAUGACGGCCCUACGGGCUGUAAACUUCUUUUGUCAGGGAGCAAUUGGGUCCACGCGCGGGCUUAGCGAGAGUACCUGUAGAAAAAGCAUCGGCUAACUCCGUGCCAGCAGCCGCGGUAAUACGGAGGAUGCGAGCGUUAUCCGGAUUUAUUGGGUUUAAAGGGUGCGUAGGCGGAAUAUCAAGUCAGCGGUAAAAAUUCGGGGCUCAACCCCGUCGUGCCGUUGAAACUGAUGUUCUUGAGUGGGCGAGAAGUAUGCGGAAUGCGUGGUGUAGCGGUGAAAUGCAUAGAUAUCACGCAGAACUCCGAUUGCGAAGGCAGCGUGCCGUGCCGCCACUGACGCUGAGGCACGAAAGCGCGGGGAUCGAACAGGAUUAGAUACCCUAGUA